AGUGAACGCUGGCGGUAGGCCUAACACAUGCAAGUCGAACGGCAGCACAGUAAGAGCCUGCUCUUACGGGUGGCGAGUGGCGGACAGGUGAGGAAUACAUCGGAAUCUACUUUUUCGUGGGGGAUAACGUAGGGAAACUUACGCUAAUACCGCAUACGACCUACGGGUGAAAGCAGGGGAUCUUCGGACCUUGCGCGAUUGAAUGAGCCGAUGUCGGAUUAGCUAGUUGGCGGGGUAAAGGCCCACCAAGGCGACGAUCCGUAGCUGGUCUGAGAGGAUGAUCAGCCACACUGGAACUGAGACACGGUCCAGACUCCUACGGGAGGCAGCAGUGGGGAAUAUUGGACAAUGGGCGCAAGCCUGAUCCAGCCAUACCGCGUGGGUGAAGAAGGCCUUCGGGUUGUAAAGCCCUUUUGUUGGGAAAGAAAAGCAGCAGGUUAAUACCCCGCUGUUCUGACGGUACCCAAAGAAUAAGCACCGGCUAACUUCGUG
Molecule: ribosomal RNA, 492 nt
Filed under: uncultured bacterium
Lineage: Bacteria
Description: partial 16S ribosomal RNA
Rfam family: Bacterial small subunit ribosomal RNA
Source: RNAcentral